UGCAUCGGCCGGGAAUCGAACCCGGGAGGCCCGCGUGGGAAGCGAGCAUUCUACCACUGAACCACCGAUGG
This 71-nucleotide transfer RNA is filed under the name Cordylochernes scorpioides. RNAcentral's name for it is "tRNA-Gly". The record is from RNAcentral. Lineage: Eukaryota; Metazoa; Arthropoda; Arachnida; Pseudoscorpiones; Chernetidae.